ACUAGUCUCCCUGUGGUUUAUGUAUAUGUGUGGAUGCGGUGGUUGGUUUUUGAAGUUCUGUCUGGGUGAAAAUGCGCAGGAAAUGCUCACAUUGUGGGAACAUGGCCAUAAUUCAAGGACUUGCACCAUUUAGAGAGGAAG
Telopea speciosissima is the source of this 141-nucleotide long non-coding RNA. RefSeq lists it as uncharacterized. The transcript has 3 exons. Lineage: Eukaryota; Viridiplantae; Streptophyta; Magnoliopsida; Proteales; Proteaceae. The record is from RefSeq and is a predicted model, not a curated record.